RNAcentral lists this ribosomal RNA (899 nucleotides) under uncultured Bacillota bacterium. Its description in RNAcentral is "bacterial SSU rRNA". It matches the Rfam family "Bacterial small subunit ribosomal RNA", at positions 68 to 979 of the family's 1533-position model. Lineage: Bacteria; Bacillati; Bacillota. The record is from RNAcentral.
UUAAAGCUCCCUUCGGGGAGUGCAUAGAGUGGCGCACGGGUUGAGUAACACGUAAGUAAUCUACCCUCGGGUGGGGAAUAACAUCGGGAAACCGAUGCUAAUACCGCAUAAUGCAGCGGCACCGCAAGGUGACAGUUGUUAAAGGAGCAAUCCGCCUGGGGAGGAGCUUGCGGCAGAUUAGCUUGUUGGUAAGGUAAUGGCUUACCAAGGCUACGAUCUGUAUCCGGUCUAAGAGGACGGUCGGACACACUGACACUGAAUAACGGGUCAGACUCCUACGGGAGGCAGCAGUCGGGAAUUUUGGGCAAUGGGGGAAACCCUGACCCAGCAACGCCGCGUGAAGGAUGAAGUAUUUCGGCAUGUAAACUUCGAAAGAAUGGGAAGAAUUAAUGACGGUACCAUUUAUAAGCUCCGGCUAACUACGUGCCAGCAGCCGCGGUAAUACGUAGGGAGCAAGCGUUGUUCGGAUUUACUGGGCGUAAAGGGCGCGUAGGCGGCGCGGUAAGUCACUUGUGAAAUCUCUGAGCUUAACUCAGAACGGCCAAGUGAUACUGCAGUGCUUGAGUGUGGAAGGGGCAAUCGGAAUUCUUGGUGUAGCGGUGAAAUGCGUAGAUAUCAAGAGGAACACCUGAGGUGAAGACGGGUUGCUGGGCCAACACUGACGCUGAUGCGCGAAAGCCAGGGGAGCAAACGGGAUUAGAUACCCCGGUAGUCCUGGCCCUAAACGAUGAAUACUUGGUGUCUGGAGUUUUAAUGCUCCGGGUGCCGUCGCUAACGUUUUUAGUAUUCCGCCUGGGGAGUACGCUCGCAAGAGUGAAACUCAAAGGAAUUGACGGGGACCCGCACAAGCGGUGGAGCAUGUGGUUUAAUUCGACGCAACGCGAAGAACCUUACCUGGA